GCUAAAAAUCUAGCUAAAUAUAAAUAAUUAAUAUAACACCAUAAAAACCUUUACUAAACAAAAAUCACAAAAAUUAAAACAUUCUCCCGCCCUAGUAUGAGUGACAGAAAAGGACCCCAUAAGCCAUAAAAUAGUACCGCAAGGGAAAGAUGAAAAAGAAAAUGAAAUAAAUCAUUAAGCCAAAAAAAGCAGAGAUUAAACCUCGCACCUUUUGCAUCAUGAUUUACCCAGCCACUGUGAGCAAAGAGUACUUUAGUUCACGGCCCCGAAACUAAGUGAGCUACCCCGAGACAGCCUACAAGGGCCAACCCAUCUCUGUGGCAAAAGAGUGGGAAGAUCUCCAGGUAGAGGUGAUAAGCCUACCGAACCUAGUUAUAGCUGGUUGCCUAAAAAAUGAAUAUAAGUUCAGCCUCCCCCCACCCCAACUCACAAAAAGCUAUUGCUGCCAAAGAGUACGAGAAAUGGAGAGAGUUAAUCAGAGGGGGUACAGCCCCUCUGAUUAGGGAUACAACCCUAUCAGGAGGUUAAAGAUUAUAAUAAGUAAGAUUACUGUCCAAGUGGGCCUAAAAGCAGCCAUCCAAACAGAAAGCGUUAAAGCUCAAACAGAAUAAAAUCCAUUAUUACAAUAAUUUAAUCCUAAGCCCCUAAUUAUAUUAGGCCACUCUAUGCGCACAUAGAAGUGAUACUGCUAAAAUGAGUAAUAAGAAGUUAUUAACUUCUCCUGGCCCAAGUGUAUGUUAGAACGGACCAUCCACUAACUAUUAACGAACCCACCCAAAGAGGGCAAUAUGAUCACAAGUAUAACCAAGAAGACCCCAUACACAUUAUCGUUAACCCCACACCGGAAGGCCGAAAGGAAAGACGAAAAGAAAAGGAAGGAACUCGGCAAACACAAGCCUCGCCUGUUUACCAAAAACAUCGCCUCCCGCAAAGAAUACAUAGGAGGUCUUACCUGCCCAGUGAAUAAAUUAAACGGCCGCGGUAUUUUGACCGUGCAAAGGUAGCGCAAUCACUUGUCUUUUAAAUGAAGACCCGUAUGAAUGGUGAAACGAGGGCUUAACUGUCUCCCUUUUCUAGUCAAUGAAAUUGAUCUGCCCGUGCAGAAGCGGGCCUAAUAAUACAAGACGAGAAGACCCUUUGGAGCUUAAGAUAAUAAGACAACUAUGUUAAUGAACAAAAACCCUAAACCAAAUAGUUCUGUCUCAUAUCUUCGGUUGGGGCGACCACGGGAGAAAACAAAGCUCCCAUGCAGACAGGGUAUAACCCAAAGCUAAGAGAGACAUCUCUAAGACACAGAACAUCUGACCAUAUGAUCCGGCCCACCCGCCGAUUAACGAACCAAGUUACCCUAGGGAUAACAGCGCAAUCCCCUUUCAGAGCCCUUAUCGACAAGGGGGUUU
This 1400-nucleotide ribosomal RNA is filed under the name Rhadinoloricaria sp. 'Orinoco'. RNAcentral describes it as "partial 16S ribosomal RNA". It matches the Rfam family "Bacterial large subunit ribosomal RNA", at positions 201 to 2519 of the family's 2925-position model. The record is from RNAcentral. Lineage: Eukaryota; Metazoa; Chordata; Actinopteri; Siluriformes; Loricariidae.